Molecule: small nuclear RNA, 334 nt
Filed under: Chinchilla lanigera (long-tailed chinchilla)
Lineage: Eukaryota; Metazoa; Chordata; Mammalia; Rodentia; Chinchillidae
Description: 7SK RNA (ENSCLAG00000021832.1)
Rfam family: 7SK RNA
About the family: 7SK was discovered as an abundant small nuclear RNA in the mid-70s but a possible function has only recently been suggested. Two independent studies have found that 7SK RNA binds the CDK9/cyclin T complex (known as elongation factor P-TEFb). P-TEFb activates transcription by phosphorylating the C-terminal domain of RNA polymerase II.
Source: Rfam by way of RNAcentral
GGAUGUGAGGGUGAUCUGGCUGCGACAUCUGUCACUCCAUUGAUCCCAGGGUUGAUCUGGUGAUCUGGCUGGCUGGGGUGGGUGUCCCCUUCCUCCUUCACUGCUCCAUGUGUGUCCUCCUGAAGCUACAUGCUCGGUGGAAGAGGGCAACCACCCUGAUGGUGGAGGCCUGUUUCCUUGGGGACAAGGGUAUAUAAGUAGCUGUGUUCCUCUGUGCAAGAAAAUAAAAAAAAGUAGGCAUAGAUUCUGUCAUUAGCAGUUACCAACAUAGCACAACUCCAAAACUGUUAGCUUCUCCUAAAAUGACUAAAACGCUUAUAUACUGGCAAUUUUA